GACGAACGCUGGCGGCGUGCUUAACACAUGCAAGUCGAACGGACAGGCCCUGCUUUUGUGGGUUGCUCGAGUGGCGAACGGGUGAGUAACACGUGAGUAACCUGCCCUUGACUUUGGGAUAACUUCAGGAAACUGGGGCUCAUACCGGAUAUGAGCUCCUGCUGCAUGGUGGGGGUUGGAAAGUUUCGGCGGUUGGGGAUGGACUCGCGGCUUAUCAGCUUGUUGGUGGGGUAGUGGCUUACCAAGGCUUUGACGGGUAGCCGGCCUGAGAGGGUGACCGGCCACAAUGGGACUGAGAUACGGCCCAGAAGCCUACGGGAGGCAGCAGUGGGGAAUAUUGCACAAUGGGCGGAAGCCUGAUGAAGCAACGCCGCGUGCGGGAUGACGGCCUUCGGGGUGUAAACCGCUUUCGCCUGUGACGAAGAGUGAGUGACGGUAAUGGGUAAAGAAGCACCGGCUAACUACGUG
RNAcentral lists this ribosomal RNA (468 nucleotides) under uncultured bacterium. RNAcentral describes it as "partial 16S ribosomal RNA". It matches the Rfam family "Bacterial small subunit ribosomal RNA", at positions 28 to 507 of the family's 1533-position model. The record is from RNAcentral.